RNAcentral lists this unclassified non-coding RNA (237 nucleotides) under uncultured fungus. RNAcentral describes it as "sequence contains ITS2". Lineage: Eukaryota; Fungi. The record is from RNAcentral.
AACGCACAUUGCGCCCUUUGGCAUUCCGAAGGGCAUGCCCGUUCGAGCGUCAAUAAGACCCAUCAAGCCUGGCUUGGUAUUGGGCGUCGGGCUAAUCACCCGCGCCUCUAUUCUCUCGGCUGGACGGUUAGAAUCUCAGCGUUGUGCAAUCAAUUCGCUAGGGAGGAUCGCCAGACGCGCCGUUAAAACCUCUAAAAGUCUGACCUCGGAUCGGGUAGGGAUACCCGCUGAACUUAA